UAGAAUCAAUGAGAUUAGCUAGAACAAUAACCAGAAGAACGAAGAGGGAGAGAGAUAACAUGAAAUAAAAUCUUAACAAAGAAAGUCUUAAUUUCUCAUUAUUUAUCUUCUUUGUUUGUAGUUACUAGCUUGUAUAUAAAUAUUAAUUAGGACUAAUAAGAAAAAUUAUAAAAAGGAAAUAUAAAAGACUGUAACUCCUAUAAUAUUUAGAAAAUUUAACUUACAAGGCAUUUAAAAUAUUAUAAUAUCUAAAUAAACUUAAAUAAAUUCAA
RNAcentral lists this long non-coding RNA (272 nucleotides) under Carica papaya (papaya). Its description in RNAcentral is "long non-coding RNA (CPAP_LNC013595)". The record is from RNAcentral. Lineage: Eukaryota; Viridiplantae; Streptophyta; Magnoliopsida; Brassicales; Caricaceae.